GACGAACGCUGGCGGCGUGCUUAACACAUGCAAGUCGAACGGAAAGGCCUGCUUUCCCUUGUGGAUUGCGGGUACUCGAGUGGCGAACGGGUGAGUAACACGUGAGUGAUCUGCCCCCAACUUGGGUAUAAGCCUGGGAAACUGGGUCUAAUUCCCGAUAGGACUGCAGGGUGGUGCCUGUGGUGGAAAACGAUUUUCUAGUGGUUGGGGAUGAGCUCGCGGCCUAUCAGCUUGUUGGUGGGGUAAUGGCCUACCAAGGCGGCGACGGGUAGCCGGCCUGAGAGGGUGGACGGCCACAUUGGGACUGAGAUACGGCCCAGACACCUACGGGAGGCAGCAGUGGGGAAUAUUGCACAAUGGGCGGAAGCCUGAUGCAGCGACGCCGCGUGGGGGAUGACGGCCUUCGGGUUGUAAACUCCUUUCGACCGCGAGGAAGCCACCUGGUUGGAAGGGUGGUGACGGUAGUGGUAGAAGAAGCACCGGCUAACUACGUG
This 494-nucleotide ribosomal RNA is filed under the name uncultured bacterium. RNAcentral's name for it is "partial 16S ribosomal RNA". It matches the Rfam family "Bacterial small subunit ribosomal RNA", at positions 28 to 507 of the family's 1533-position model. The record is from RNAcentral.